UACAGAGGUCUCAAGCGUUGUUCGGAUUCAUUGGGCGUAAAGGGUGCGUAGGCGGCGCGGUAAGUCUUAUGUGAAAUCUCGGAGCUUAACUUCGAAACUGCAUUCGAUACUGCCGUGCUUGAGGACUGGAGAGGAGACUGGAAUUUACGGUGUAGCGGUGAAAUGCGUAGAUAUCGUAAGGAAGACCAGUGGCGAAGGCGGGUCUCUGGACAGUUCCUGACGCUGAGGCACGAAGGUCAGGGGAGCAAAAGGG
RNAcentral lists this ribosomal RNA (253 nucleotides) under uncultured bacterium. RNAcentral describes it as "partial 16S ribosomal RNA". It matches the Rfam family "Bacterial small subunit ribosomal RNA", at positions 524 to 776 of the family's 1533-position model. The record is from RNAcentral.